RNAcentral lists this ribosomal RNA (610 nucleotides) under uncultured bacterium. RNAcentral's name for it is "bacterial SSU rRNA". It matches the Rfam family "Bacterial small subunit ribosomal RNA", at positions 248 to 858 of the family's 1533-position model. The record is from RNAcentral.
GAUGGUAGGGUAACGGCUCACCAAGGCCAUGAUGUUUAGGGGACCUGAGAGGGUUGUCCCCCACACUGGUACUGAGACACGGACCAGACUCCUACGGGAGGCAGCAGUGAGGAAUAUUGGUCAAUGGGUGCAAGCCUGAUCCAGCCAUCCCGCGUGAAGGAAGAAUGCCCUACGGGUUGUAAACUUCUUUUCCAGGGGGAGAAUUUUCCUGUCGAGACAGGGAUUGAGGGUACCAUGGGAAUAAGCAUCGGCUAACUCCGUGCCAGCAGCCGCGGUAAUACGGAGGAUGCGAGCGUUAUCCGGAUUUAUUGGGUUUAAAGGGUGCGUAGGCGGCUUGAUAAGUCAGUGGUGAAAUUUUGCAGCUUAACUGUAGACUUGCCGUUGAUACUGUUAGUCUUGAGUGUGGUCAAGGCAGGCGGAAUGUGUAAUGUAGCGGUGAAAUGCUUAGAUAUCACGCAGAACACCGAUUGCGAAGGCAGCUCACAAAGUCAAUAUUGACGCUGAGGCACGAAAGCGUGGGGAUCAAACAGGAUUAGAUACCCUGGUAGUCCACGCCGUAAACUAUGAUCACUCGCUGUCGGCGAUACACGGUCAGCGGCCAAGCAAAAGC